This 374-nucleotide unclassified non-coding RNA is filed under the name uncultured Agaricomycetes. RNAcentral describes it as "sequence contains ITS1". The stretch from base 1 to 105 matches the Rfam family "5.8S ribosomal RNA", at positions 50 to 154 of the family's 154-position model. Lineage: Eukaryota; Fungi; Basidiomycota; Agaricomycetes. The record is from RNAcentral.
GAAAUGCGAUACGUAAUGUGAAUUGCAGAAUCCAGUGAAUCAUCGAAUCUUCGAACGCACGUUGCGGCCCUGGGUAUUCCCAGGGCCACGCCUGCUUGAGUGCCAUUUAUAUACCUCAUUCUCUGACUUCUUUUGUCAAAGAAUGGAUUUGAGUUGUCGGAUCUUUUCAGUAAGGUCCGUCACUUGAAAUGUAGAGGUCAAUAACGCUUUUAUCCUCUAAGUACAAGCGUGGUACGCCUUAUUGCAAGGCAAAUCCUAUCCGCUUGUGCGUUAUAAAAGAAGAUAAAGCUCAAGACCCCAACACCAUUGAGGUUUGUUUACGCAUUCCUUAUAAUCUUGGCCUCAAGUCAGACGAGACUACCCGCUGAAUUUAA